This 75-nucleotide transfer RNA is filed under the name Candidatus Pacebacteria bacterium CG_4_10_14_0_8_um_filter_42_14. RNAcentral's name for it is "tRNA-Glu". It matches the Rfam family "tRNA". Rfam says of the family: Transfer RNA (tRNA) molecules are approximately 80 nucleotides in length. Their secondary structure includes four short double-helical elements and three loops (D, anti-codon, and T loops). The record is from RNAcentral. Lineage: Bacteria; Bacillati; Minisyncoccota.
GGCCCCAUCGUCCAGCGGUUAGGACACCAGGUUUUCAUCCUGGUAACCAGGGUUCGAUUCCCUGUGGGGUCACCA